GAUGAACGUUGGCGGUGUGCCUAAUACAUGCAAGUCGAACGGAGUCAGUAGCAAUAUUGGCUCAGUGGCGAACGGGUGAGUAACGCGUUGGUGAUCUGCCUUGAAGUGUGGAAUAACGUUUCGAAAGAGACGCUAAUACCGCAUGUGCUCUCGAUUUUCAGAAAGUUGAGAGUAAAGGAUUUAUUCGCUUCAAGAGGAGCCUGCGUCCCAUCAGCUGGUUGGUAGGGUAACGGCCUACCAAGGCUAUGACGGGUAGGGGACCUGAGAGGGUGGCCCCCCAAAUGGAACUGAAACACGGUCCAUACACCUACGGGUGGCAGCAGUAGGGAAUAUUAGAAAUGGACGAAAGUCUGAUCUAGCAACACCGCGUGUGCGAAGAAGGGCCUUCGGGUCGUAAAGCACUUUUUGGAAGGAAUAGGAAGGAAUGUACUUCCAGAAUAAGUCUCGGCUAACUACGUG
This 459-nucleotide ribosomal RNA is filed under the name uncultured bacterium. RNAcentral's name for it is "bacterial SSU rRNA". It matches the Rfam family "Bacterial small subunit ribosomal RNA", at positions 28 to 507 of the family's 1533-position model. The record is from RNAcentral.